RNAcentral lists this non-coding RNA (202 nucleotides) under Mus musculus (house mouse). RNAcentral's name for it is "Eukaryotic large subunit ribosomal RNA". It matches the Rfam family "Eukaryotic large subunit ribosomal RNA", at positions 2122 to 2337 of the family's 3401-position model. The record is from Rfam by way of RNAcentral. Lineage: Eukaryota; Metazoa; Chordata; Mammalia; Rodentia; Muridae.
GACCAGUGGAAACUGACUGUUUAAUUAAAACAGAGUAUCAUGAAGGUCUGCUGAGUGUGUUGGCAGGAUGUGAUUUCUGCCCAGUGCUAUGAACAUCAAAGUGUAGAAAUUCAAUGAAGCUUGGGUAAAUGGCAGAAAUAACUAUGGCCCUCCUAAAGUAGCCAAAUGCCUUGUCAUGCACAAAUGGAUGAACCCGAAUCCC